RNAcentral lists this ribosomal RNA (253 nucleotides) under uncultured bacterium. RNAcentral's name for it is "partial 16S ribosomal RNA". It matches the Rfam family "Bacterial small subunit ribosomal RNA", at positions 524 to 776 of the family's 1533-position model. The record is from RNAcentral.
GACGUAGGGCGCGAGCGUUGUCCGGAUUUAUUGGGCGUAAAGAGCUCGUAGGCGGCUCAUCGCGUCUGCCGUGAAAGCCUGUGGCUCAACUACAGGCUUGCGGUUGAUACGGGUGGGCUGGAGUUCGGUAGGGGAGACUGGAAUUCCUGGUGUAGCGGUGAAAUGCGCAGAUAUCAGGAGGAACACCGGUGGCGAAGGCGGGUCUCUGGGCCGAUACUGACGCUGAGGAGCGAAAGCGUGGGGAGCGAACAGG